UUUUAAGUUUGAUCAUGGCUCAGAGUGCAACGCUGGCUGGUAGGCCUAACACAUGCAAGUCGAACGGCAGCACAGGAGAGCUUGCUCUCUGGGUGGCGAGUGGCGGACGGGUGAGGAAUACAUCGGAGUCUACUCUGUCGUGGGGGAUAACGUAGGGAAACUUACGCUAAUACCGCAUACGACCUACGGGUGAAAGCAGGGGACCUUCGGGCCUUGCGCGAUUGAAUGAGCCGAUGUCGGAUUAGCUAGCUGGCGGGGUAAAGGCCCACCAAGGCGACGAUCCGUAGCUGGUCUGAGAGGAUGAUCAGCCACACUGGAACUGAGACACGGUCCAGACUCCUACGGGAGGCAGCAGUGGGGAAUAUUGGACAAUGGGCGCAAGCCUGAUCCAGCCAUACCGCGUGGGUGAAGAAGGCCUUCGGGUUGUAAAGCCCUUUUGUUGGGAAAGAAAUCCAGCUGGCUAAUACCCGGUUGGGAUGACGGUACCCAAAGAAUAAGCACCGGCUAACUUCGUGCCAGCAGCCGCGGUAAUACGAGGGGUGCAAGCGUUACUCGGAAUUACUGGGCGUAAAGCGUGCGU
This 580-nucleotide ribosomal RNA is filed under the name uncultured bacterium. RNAcentral's name for it is "bacterial SSU rRNA". It matches the Rfam family "Bacterial small subunit ribosomal RNA", at positions 1 to 572 of the family's 1533-position model. The record is from RNAcentral.